AUACUGAAAAGGUACCUUUUUCGUUUCUUUGUUUUGCUGAACCUAUUCUGGGUAGUUGCUAAUCCUAUUGAAAAGUUUGAUCGUGAUUUUUUUGUGUGUAAUAUUUUAGCUUGGUUUGGGGGUACUCAGGCCCAAAGAUGUGUUCUCUUCAUACUUUUCUGUGACAAUCUUAAUUGGGUAUCUGCUAAAAUCAAUGGAAAACGGUUUUAUUCUAGGACAUGCGAUUUUUAAUAGAUUUUAUCUGCUCAGGUUAAAUGGGCACUUGUUAGUAUCUUUAGAGAACAGUUUGGUUAAGGUAAUUGAUGAUUGUCAGUGGAAUUGUACCUCAGCCGGUAGUGGACUGGUACCAAACCUAAAAACAUCUCACUUUAUUGCUUUAAUUUAUUCUCAUGUUCAAUUUAUCUUAAUGAUGGCUAAUCUAGAGGAACAUAACAUUUGUUUAGGUUGAUUGAUUUGUUAGAUAAGUUCUAAUUCUAACUUAUGUCACUGUUAGGUGCAUUUUGUAUG
RNAcentral lists this unclassified non-coding RNA (507 nucleotides) under Hevea brasiliensis (rubber tree). Lineage: Eukaryota; Viridiplantae; Streptophyta; Magnoliopsida; Malpighiales; Euphorbiaceae. The record is from RNAcentral.